RNAcentral lists this transfer RNA (76 nucleotides) under Sulfurospirillum arcachonense. Its description in RNAcentral is "tRNA-Glu". It matches the Rfam family "tRNA". Rfam says of the family: Transfer RNA (tRNA) molecules are approximately 80 nucleotides in length. Their secondary structure includes four short double-helical elements and three loops (D, anti-codon, and T loops). Further hydrogen bonds mediate the characteristic L-shaped molecular structure. tRNAs have two regions of fundamental functional importance: the anti-codon, which is responsible for specific mRNA codon recognition, and the 3' end, to which the tRNAs corresponding amino acid is attached (by aminoacyl-tRNA synthetases). tRNAs cope with the degeneracy of the genetic code in two manners: having more than one tRNA (with a specific anti-codon) for a particular amino acid; and 'wobble' base-pairing, i.e. permitting non-standard base-pairing at the 3rd anti-codon position. Lineage: Bacteria; Pseudomonadati; Campylobacterota; Epsilonproteobacteria; Campylobacterales; Sulfurospirillaceae. The record is from RNAcentral.
GGUCCCAUCGUCUAGUGGUCCAGGACCCCGCCCUUUCACGGCGGUAACAGGAGUUCAAAUCUCCUUGGGAUCACCA